This 4187-nucleotide long non-coding RNA is filed under the name Malus domestica (apple). RNAcentral's name for it is "long non-coding RNA (MDOM_LNC010698)". The record is from RNAcentral. Lineage: Eukaryota; Viridiplantae; Streptophyta; Magnoliopsida; Rosales; Rosaceae.
AUAAGAACUAAGAAGCAGCAGAUAAUAAGCCAAUAAUCGUGCAAGUAGUUCUUCGCGAGUGCAUCUCCAUGAGAUUUAGUUGUGUACAUUCCCAGUUCAAUGCCAGUGGCUCUUCCUUGUUUGAACAAAUAAGACGGAUCACUUUCAUACAUAACUGCAUUGUUAAAGACACAAUAUUUAAUUUGCAGAAAUUGGCUAAAAGAUAUUUCCAAAACUAUAUCAACAAAUGAAGGGAAAAAAAAAAGUGUGCUACAAUGAUUUCAGUAUUUAACCAGAUUACAAUUGACAAUAUAGCACACAAAAAAUUUAAUCAAACCUCAGAAUCUCGAAGCAGACCAAGGAACUACUUCGGCCUAAUUUUACACAAAUAUCCUAAUUGUCUCAUUCUCUUCCUUUAACUGCUAAACAUAAUUUUCUGAAAUUGACUUCACAAAACUAAUUAAUUAUUGGGGUUUCAUAAUAUGAUCUGAAUAAGCAAACCGACCCUGGAAUGGAUAAGUAAGCUUCUACCCGCAGACUGGAUCAAAGGCCCGCAGUUUCGUUAUGACAAUUACAUUGAAGGACUUCACAACCAAAUGCCAGUGCAACAAGGGUUAUAUUUUCAAAACCCUUGCACUAAUUGUGUUCGCACUUUUGCUAUGGCUAGAUGUGAUUAUUUGUGAGUAAUAAGUUAUGUGGCCGGUAAAGUCUUUUAACGAUGAUUCUAUAGUCUCGCCCUUUGUAAUAACUUUAUAUCUCGUUCUUCAGCGAUGACCGAUGUGUUCGCUGGUAUAAGUUUAUGGCGUCUACCAUUUGUGACGGAAUCUAAACUGGUGGCGAUGGUACGGAUGUGUUUCUGGUAGUCAUAUAAGGGUUUUACUGACACGUCCCGACCCUGAUAUUCCCCAAAUACCAAGAUAGACAUGUGCUAGCCGACACUCGAGGGGGACGAAAGCCAUUAAUUGAUACAAAAGCUAAGGAUAAGAAGUAAAUAAGGAUUAUGAAUUUAAAAUACAAUAAAUUAAUAAUUUAGGAACGUGUUUAGAGUAUACAACUAACUAAAGUUCUAAAAGAAUUAAUGUAAAAUUGAAUAAAUAAAAGAAUGUGGGUCCUACAUCGAGAGGACUCGAAUAUGCCAAUGCAAAAGCGUUGACGUCGGGAUCGUAUGCCUUGAUUCUAAAUCCUGAAAGGGGACGCAAAACAAGGGUGAGUGGACCAAGUUUAUAUACAUACAUAAUACAAAAACAGUUAUAAACAUACUAACCCCUAAAGUUUUAAUAAUGAAAACUACUAGCAUAAUAAAUGAUAGGUUUCUCUGAAAACCCUAGCAUGCUAUGAACAUCUCAAAAGACAUAUUGUGGAAAACAUCGCAGAAAUCAAAGCAUCAAUAGUCUCACAAAUCGUCUCGUAAGCGCGGUGUUCUGCUAGUAGGAUCACUAAAUAAUAAUACUCCCGACAAUGCCUGCACCUAAGUCUCUGUGUCCGUAGCCAGAGAUAACUCCCUUCCGGCCCAAUGCCUGUCUCCGUGUCCCUCAGCCUUUCACUAGGGAUUAUUUCUCCCGGCCUAACUGCCAACACUAGAUCCUCGCCCCAAGCAGCAUAGUGUCCACUAGUUACGCACAAAUAGUUACACCUCUCAAAAUAAUCACUUCAUAGUAUAAAGUCAUCCAUUGUUUAUACUAUAAAAAGGGGUUUCUAAAACAUGUUCUAGCAUCCUAUCGUCAUCCAUCAGAUAGUCUACCAGUUCAUGGUUUUUAUAGAAAAUACGAUAUAUCAAACUAUAGCUCAAUAUAGGCUAACAAUUAAUUCCUCACCAAAAACACGAGACGAAAAUUAACAUAUUCAAUAAACAUGCUAAACAUAAAAUUAAAUCAUAAACUCGUAAGACAUGCUAUUCAUUUAUGCAAUUAAACCAUAAAUUCAUAUAAUUUUAGAAGGGGUCCACUCACUGUACUUAGCCGCCAAAAACUACGCUACUAGCGAUGACAGAAAUAUCACAACAAUUGCCCCUAAGCACAAAAAUAGCACACUUAGUCAAACUCUACUCAAAUGAUUUAAUUUAGGAAAACGGACUUCUAAAAUGGGUCCAGGACAUCGAAAUUAGCCUAGGAGAGGUCCCGGACGAAACCCCUAAAAGUCAACUUUAACCAUUGACCGAGUCAACAGUCAAAGGUCAAUUGGGUCUAGACUGAGGGUUUGGAUCAGAAUUAGGGUUUAGAUUUAGGUUAAAUAAGGUUAGGACCUAUUGGGUUUUGGUUUUGGAUAGGUUUAGGGACAAAAAUUGUGGUUUGGGCGUGAGCCCAAACCCACUAAAUAUUCACACACACAUCAGCACACAUAUACACCUGCAUGCACAGCACAUUUACACAUGCACACACGCCACACGUGUGUAACACACACACACACACGGCGCACACGCACACUCUCCUGUGCACGGCCCGCAGGCCUAACAGCCGAAAAGGAUGGGCUUAAGCCCUCUGUAAUUAACAAAGGUCCAAGGCCCCGUGGGCCUUUAAAACAAAAAUUAAAAUAAAACUAAAAUGGUUUGGGUUGGGUCUACGGGCCCAAGGCCCGUGGGUGUCCUAAACGGCCUGAAAGGCCUGCGUGCUGACGGAAAUAAUGGAGAAGAACGCCGGAGCCUUCCCAGCUCCGGCCGACUGCAAACCACGACCCUAGACUCUGUUCUAGGUACCAAAAUGACGCACAAAGUGAGAGGAGUGUGAUUAUACCUUUGAUUUUCCGUAGAACGGUCGAAGGUGACCGGAAAACCAUUCGACAGCCACGGGCUCGCCGGAGAUGGGUUUGGCACACCCGAGCCGAUUUCCUUCAAAAACCUUGUAAAAACGACGAUUUAAAGCUUAAUAUAUCUCAACCACGCAACAACCAAGACUAAUUUGACCGGAAAACCAAGGGAACUCGCAAGAGAGUUCCUGGGUUCCACAGUCCCAGCUGCGCCGAGAGAGAAAGGGAGAGGAAGACUAGGUUUGAUGAUUAUUAUUGUCUUCCUUGUGCAGGUAAGCAAUUAGGUGUGUGCAUGCGUGUGUAUGUGCGUCUCGGUGAAAGAGGGAAAUAAGAGAGAGAAGGGAGAGAAACAGAAACAGAAAGGAGUCACGCGGGGGAGGGGAAACAGAGAGAGAUGAUGUUUGUUGGGGUGCUGCCACGUGGCAUUUCCAUUGGGUAAAAGAGAAAUGGACUAAAUUGAUAAUUUCAUAAACCUUUUGGGGAAUAAAAAAAUUAUACACAUAAUUGGGGGUUGGGGUGUUACAUUUACUCAUUUUGUGUGUCCCUGCAAAUUUAUUCGCGAUCAAUUUUCUUAUCACUGAAGCCAAUUAACACCUCUGUAUUUAUAUGUGUUGACCAAUAAAAUGCUACUCUUAUCUUUUCUUGUAAAAAAAUAAAAUAAAAGGUUUAGAAAAAAGGGUAUAGGAUAAUUUGGAAAUUUGAGAUGGAGUUCUACAAUUUUCGUCUAAAUUUACCAUAUCAAGAUAUGAAAAGAAGAAAGCGUCUGCCUGGUUAAGUUUUAGAAAAUGAUUUUUGAAGCACUGUUGCAAUUUGCAAAAAGGAAACGACAAAUAAGAAUUUUCAUUUUUAAGAUGUGAGAAUGUUAUAGUUGUUUAAUUCGGUAUGAUUUUUUUAGAAAGAAAAUAUUAAAAACGUGUCAGGUGCCAAUGUUUAAAAUGCUAAAGAAAUAUACAUCGCAAAUUCGUUAUUGGUAGUUAUAUUUUUGUAAUAUAAAUUCAAAGCAUUGAUUGGGGGAUACUGACAUCGACUGGAGGCUAGAUCAUGGUCGGAGGGGCUAGCGAGCAUGGUGAGUGCCUGCGCGGUGAAGGGAUUAAGCCAAGUAGAGGAGGGGUUUAAGGUUGAGGGUUGCGGGCGUUGCGACAAGAUGGUAUUGACGCAACGGUAGUUGGGGGUGGUGACAGUGUUAAGAGCAAUUCCACCCAUGGAGCCCUUCUCCCUGGCAAUCCACUAUUCAAUCCACCCUAUUAAACAGUAACUGCCUUAAAUGAAUAGUAACUACCAUUAAUGAACAGUAAUUACCAUUUACAUCUCCACCCUUGGAACCCUCCCCCUGGCAAUAAGCAAUUAAAAUAAUAGUUUUUUUUGUUUGUUUAAAUAAUAAAAAACCCUCCUCUCUCUCUCUCUGUGUCUCUCUGACACAAAAAAUAAAUAAACAAUUACAAAGCCCUCGGGCCACAGGCCCGUCG